Long non-coding RNA from Dermochelys coriacea (leatherback sea turtle), 722 nucleotides. RefSeq lists it as uncharacterized. The record is from RefSeq and is a predicted model, not a curated record. The transcript is spliced from 4 exons. NCBI's taxonomy places the organism in Eukaryota, Metazoa, Chordata, Testudines, Dermochelyidae.
GGUGUAUUAACACUUCCACUUCCUCCAAAGGUAUUGCUAGCAUGUAACCUUCUAGGAAGUUUCCUGCAUGCCCCACAGUUUCACAGCAGUUGGAUGUAUCUGUUUAUAGAGUAUCUGUGCAGUGACACCUGCUCAUAUUUUGUCCUCGAAAGUAAUUUCAGAUGACUGCUUCCAAAAACCAAAGCAUCAAGUAUCCUGGCAUUGAGGAGUGCAUAUCAAGACACUGAUUGAUUAUAACGUGCUGAGGUGGAAAAAGAACCCAGGAACCAAACUCCCAGUCCUUUCUAACUCCUAGACAACACCACCAACCACACAUUGCUGCCUCCAUCAUCCCAGUGAAGUGAUUCAAACGCCUUUUAGAACUGGACAUACUUUGUUUUCAAUUGACAAGGGCAUUUUUGACAACACCAGGAAGAAAUUCCAGCAUCAAAAAUCCAAUUUGGGUAACCCGUCUGGCAGUGCAGAGUAUUAACAAGUCCACUUCACUUGACUUUUAAGUUCUGCCCUACAUCUGUUUAAAUAAACUGUGUCUGGAUCAAGAAGCAUUUUGGAAGAAUAGACACACAAAUAAUUUCUAUGGGGAAAUGAUUACAGAGAAGUUAGCAUUGCUGACAUUCAAAGGGAUUGUUUUGAGGUCAGUCUGCUUGAAGAGGUUGAGAGCCUUUUCUCUACUCCAAGAAAUUCAUGGAGGGCAAGAGUCUCUUCAGUAAAAGAGGUGAUUG